Molecule: transfer RNA, 88 nt
Filed under: Candidatus Peregrinibacteria bacterium
Lineage: Bacteria; Candidatus Peregrinibacteriota
Description: tRNA-Leu
Rfam family: tRNA
About the family: Transfer RNA (tRNA) molecules are approximately 80 nucleotides in length.
Source: RNAcentral
GCUCUGGUGGCGAAAUUGGUAGACGCGCAGGCUUGAGGGGCUUGUGAUCAAUAUGAUCGUGGAGGUUCAAGUCCUCUCCAGAGCACCA